CGUAGGGUGCGAGCGUUGUCCGGAUUUAUUGGGCGUAAGGGGCUCGUAGGUGGUUGAUCGCGUCGGAAGUGUAAUCUUGGGGCUUAACCCUGAGCGUGCUUUCGAUACGGGUUGACUUGAGGAAGGUAGGGGAGAAUGGAAUUCCUGGUGGAGCGGUGGAAUGACGCAGAUAGUCAGGAGGAACACCAGGUGGCGAAGGCGGUUCUCUGGGCCUUUCCUGACGCUGAGGAGCGAAAGCGUGGGGAGCGAACAGGCUU
This 257-nucleotide ribosomal RNA is filed under the name uncultured bacterium. RNAcentral's name for it is "partial 16S ribosomal RNA". It matches the Rfam family "Bacterial small subunit ribosomal RNA", at positions 526 to 779 of the family's 1533-position model. The record is from RNAcentral.